Molecule: long non-coding RNA, 236 nt
Filed under: Gossypium barbadense (sea-island cotton)
Lineage: Eukaryota; Viridiplantae; Streptophyta; Magnoliopsida; Malvales; Malvaceae
Description: long non-coding RNA (GBAR_LNC011570)
Source: RNAcentral
UGGGCCUCAGGAAGAACUUUUCCAAAUCUUUCAGGCUCGACCUUUAAUUACGGGCCACUGCAUAGACUGGGUUGCCAUAGAACAAGUUUAAUUGGCUGAUGUGAUUCGGGCCCUCCGAACCACUGACCCUUGGGAGCUAUUCUUUGAGAUCAUCAAACCAACAUACCUCGAGCUCACGAUGAAACUAUGCUCAACAUUCCAUCUUCAGACCAUAAUGACAAACUACGAUGAUCCCG